Molecule: ribosomal RNA, 460 nt
Filed under: uncultured bacterium
Lineage: Bacteria
Description: partial 16S ribosomal RNA
Rfam family: Bacterial small subunit ribosomal RNA
Source: RNAcentral
CCUACGGGUGGCAGCAGUGAGGAAUAUUGGUCAAUGGCCGGAAGGCUGAACCAGCCAUGCCGCGUGAAGGUCAGUGCCCUAUGGGCGUUAAACUUCUUUUGUGCGGGAGCAAUAAUGGUCACGUGUGGCCAGACGAGAGUACCGUACGAAUAAGCAUCGGCUAACUCCGUGCCAGCAGCCGCGGUAAUACGGGGGAUGCAAGCGUUAUCCGGAUUUAUUGGGUUUAAAGGGUGCGUAGGCUGUGAGGUAAGUCAGCGGUGAAAUGCCCCCGCGCAACGGGGUGAAGUGCCAUUGAUACUGCCUGGCUGGAGUGCGGAUGCCGUGGGAGGAAUGUGUGGUGUAGCGGUGAAAUGCAUAGAUAUCACACAGAACACCGAUUGCGAAGGCAUCUCACGAGUCCGCGAUUGACGCUGAUGCACGAAAGCGUGGGUAUCAAACAGGAUUAGAUACCCUUGUAGUC